AGAGUUUGAUCCUGGCUCAGAUUGAACGCUGGCGGCAUGCUUUACACAUGCAAGUCGAACGGCAGCACGGGGGCAACCUUGGUGGCGAGUGGCGAACGGGUGAGUAAUAUAUCGGAACAUAUCCGGAAGUGGGGGAUAACGUAGCGAAAGUUACGCUAAUACCGCAUAUGCCCUGAGGGGGAAAGGGGGGGAUCGCAAGACCUCUCGCUUUCGGAGUGGCCGAUAUCGGAUUAGCUAGUUGGUGAGGUAAAGGCUCACCAAGGCGACGAUCCGUAGCUGGUCUGAGAGGACGACCAGCCACACUGGGACUGAGACACGGUCCAGACUCCUACGGGAGGCAGCAGUGGGGAAUAUUGGACAAUGGGCGAAAGCCUGAUCCAGCCAUGCCGCGUGUGUGAAGGCCUUAGGGUUGUAAAGCUCUUUUACCCGGGAUGAUAAUGACAGUACCGGGAGAAUAAGCUCCGGCUAACUCCGUGCCAGCAGCCGCGGUAAUACGGGGGGGGCAAGCGUUGUUCGGAAUUAUUGGGCGUAAAGGGCGCGUAGGCGGUCAGACUAAGUCGAAUGUAAAAUACCAAGGCUUAACCUAGGCAGGUCGUUCGAUACUAGUCGACUAGAGUGUGGAAGGGGUUACUGGAAUUCCUGGUGUAGCGGUGAAAUGCGUAGAUAUCAGGAGGAACACCGGAGGCGAAGGCGGGUAACUGGGCCAACACUGACGCUGAGGCGCGAAAGCUAGGGGAGCAAACAGGAUUAGAUACCCUGGUAGUCC
This 766-nucleotide ribosomal RNA is filed under the name uncultured bacterium. RNAcentral describes it as "bacterial SSU rRNA". It matches the Rfam family "Bacterial small subunit ribosomal RNA", at positions 8 to 796 of the family's 1533-position model. The record is from RNAcentral.